UCACCCUCGUGCAAAAGGGUAAGAAGCGC
RNAcentral lists this small RNA (29 nucleotides) under Bombyx mori (domestic silkworm). RNAcentral's name for it is "ovarian small RNA-25133". The record is from RNAcentral. Lineage: Eukaryota; Metazoa; Arthropoda; Insecta; Lepidoptera; Bombycidae.